Molecule: ribosomal RNA, 440 nt
Filed under: uncultured bacterium
Lineage: Bacteria
Description: partial 16S ribosomal RNA
Rfam family: Bacterial small subunit ribosomal RNA
Source: RNAcentral
CCUACGGGUGGCAGCAGUGGGGGAUAUUGCACAAUGGGGGAAACCCUGAUGCAGCGACGCCGCGUGUGGGAAGACGGUCCUCUGGAUUGUAAACCACUGUCCCCAGGGACGAAGAUGACGUUACCUGGGGAGGCAGCUCCGGCAAACUACGUGCCAGCAGCCGCGGUAAUACGUAGGGAGCGAGCGUUGUCCGGAAUUACUGGGUGUAAGGGGAGCGUAGGCGGGACUGCAAGUUGGGUGUCAAAUCUACCGGCUCAACCGGUAGCCGCACUCAAAACUGCAGUUCUUGAGAGAAGUAGAGGCAGGCGGAAUUCCUAGUGUAGCGGUGAAAUGCGUAGAUAUUAGGAGGAACACCAGUGGCGAAGGCGGCCUGCUGGGCUUUUACUGACGCUGAGGCUCGAAAGUGUGGGGAGCAAACAGGAUUAGAUACCCGUGUAGUC